RNAcentral lists this unclassified non-coding RNA (634 nucleotides) under Mesorhizobium sp. LCM 3701. RNAcentral's name for it is "partial 16S-23S ribosomal RNA intergenic spacer". The stretch from base 514 to 634 matches the Rfam family "Bacterial large subunit ribosomal RNA", at positions 1 to 121 of the family's 2925-position model. The record is from RNAcentral. Lineage: Bacteria; Pseudomonadati; Pseudomonadota; Alphaproteobacteria; Hyphomicrobiales; Phyllobacteriaceae.
AGGUUCAGUCCUCCCAGGCCCACCACUUCCUUUCGAUACGAAGGUUAUCAGGGGCCGUAGCUCAGCUGGGAGAGCGCCUGCUUUGCAAGCAGGAUGUCGUCGGUUCGAUCCCGUCCGGCUCCACCAACCAUCUUCUGCGAAGAUGGGGCGUGUCGAGUAGAGACGGUGAGAAAAAAGUCAUUCGAAAAAGAGUUUGCGUCGAGCCCUGUGCUCUGCGCCUGUUCUGUUUGACAUCGUAAAGAGAAGAUUUGUUCGAACUUCAUGAGCCGCAAGGUCUCAUGAUUUGUCGCUGGAGACGCUCAAUCUCCAGCAUAUGAUGGGUUUGCCUAACCGCGCCCUCGAACGGAUCUCGAGAAGCUGGUCUUUUUGUGCCAAUUCCAUUGAAGCAGAUCCCGCACAGGAUCUGGUUCGAGGCGACGAUCCCUGCGGGAUCGCGCUUAGCCAAUCCCGCAAGGGGUUUGGCUUGAACGACGAUCCCUUCGGGAUCGCGUGAUGGGUAUUGGCAAUGAGAACGAUCAAGUGUCUUAAGGGCAAUUGGUGGAUGCCUUGGCAUGCACAGGCGAUGAAGGACGUGAUACGCUGCGAUAAGCUACGGGGAGGUGCGAAUACCCUUUGAUCCGUAGAUCUCCGAUGG